RNAcentral lists this ribosomal RNA (330 nucleotides) under Vibrio sp. RNAcentral describes it as "bacterial SSU rRNA". It matches the Rfam family "Bacterial small subunit ribosomal RNA", at positions 775 to 1104 of the family's 1533-position model. The record is from RNAcentral. Lineage: Bacteria; Pseudomonadati; Pseudomonadota; Gammaproteobacteria; Vibrionales; Vibrionaceae.
GGAUUAGAUACCCUGGUAGUCCACGCCGUAAACGAUGUCUACUUGGAGGUUGUGGCCUUGAGCCGUGGCUUUCGGAGCUAACGCGUUAAGUAGACCGCCUGGGGAGUACGGUCGCAAGAUUAAAACUCAAAUGAAUUGACGGGGGCCCGCACAAGCGGUGGAGCAUGUGGUUUAAUUCGAUGCAACGCGAAGAACCUUACCUACUCUUGACAUCCAGAGAAGCCAGCGGAGACGCAGGUGUGCCUUCGGGAGCUCUGAGACAGGUGCUGCAUGGCUGUCGUCAGCUCGUGUUGUGAAAUGUUGGGUUAAGUCCCGCAACGAGCGCAACCC